This 403-nucleotide ribosomal RNA is filed under the name uncultured bacterium. RNAcentral's name for it is "partial 16S ribosomal RNA". It matches the Rfam family "Bacterial small subunit ribosomal RNA", at positions 30 to 526 of the family's 1533-position model. The record is from RNAcentral.
AUUGAACGCUGGCGGCAGGCCUAACCCAUGCAAGUCGAGCGAGCGGCGGACGGGUGAGUAAUGCCUGGGAAUUGCCCAGUCGAGGGGGAUAAAAGUUGGAAACGACUGCUAAUACCGCAUACGAUUGGAUUGCCCAGGUGGGAUUAGCUAGUUGGUGAGGUACUGGCUCACCAAGGCGACGAUCCCUAGCUGGUCUGAGAGGAUGAACAGCCACACGGGAAUGGGAACAGGGUCCAGAUUCCUCCGGGAGGCAGCAGGGGGGAAUAUUGCACAAUGGGGGAAACCCUGAUGCAGCCAUGCCGCGUGUGUGAAGAAGGCCUUCGGGUUGUAAAGCACUUUCAGCGAGGAGGCGUUACUCGCAGAAGAAGCACCGGCUAACUCCGUGCCAGCAGCCGCGUAAUUC